CGAACACUGAGAUUAACCUUUCCACCCAAGGUUUUCCUUCUGUUGCCUGCCGCUGUGGCCCAAAGAGCAUCUCUUGUGCAGAACUUAUGGAGCUGGCCAGCACUGGAAUCCUGCAAACCAGGUAAAAUCUACAAUUCUGGAAUCACAGGUUGAUUAAAUGUGAUGAUACACGAAGAAAGCGCGACCAACCCAUAGAUUUGAAGUGGCAGAAAGUGCUCUACAACACACUGGGUAAGCCUCAAUAAGAAGUUCUUCAUCUGACUUCCAAAAAGUCUGCGGGAAAGGCUCGCUUGGAGGAAUGCAGUGGAGAUGUCCGGCAUCUGGACAUUCCUUCCGCGUGAUGGCACACAUCUGGCUCUUUGGAAUGAGCAGAACAUUUCCCUUCCAGUUUCCCUCCAGAUGUCUGAGGGUACGGAGAUACAGCCCAAGAGUGCAUGGAGUUGAGUUCAUCACACUGCUCAGCUUAUGGU
Canis lupus familiaris (dog) is the source of this 470-nucleotide long non-coding RNA. RefSeq lists it as uncharacterized. NCBI's taxonomy places the organism in Eukaryota, Metazoa, Chordata, Mammalia, Carnivora, Canidae. The transcript is spliced from 4 exons. The record is from RefSeq and is a predicted model, not a curated record.